Molecule: ribosomal RNA, 253 nt
Filed under: uncultured bacterium
Lineage: Bacteria
Description: partial 16S ribosomal RNA
Rfam family: Bacterial small subunit ribosomal RNA
Source: RNAcentral
UACGGAGGGUGCAAGCGUUAUCCGGAUUCACUGGGUUUAAAGGGUGUGUAGGCGGGUCUGUAAGUCAGUGGUGAAAUCUCCGAGCUCAACUUGGAAACUGCCAUUGAUACUAUAGGUCUUGAAUUUUGUUGAGGUAGGCGGAAUAUGUCAUGUAGCGGUGAAAUGCAUAGAUAUGACAUAGAACACCGAUUGCGAAGGCAGCUUACUAAGCAAAUAUUGACGCUGAGGCACGAAAGCGUGGGGAUCAAACAGG